Fundulus heteroclitus (mummichog) is the source of this 460-nucleotide long non-coding RNA. RefSeq lists it as uncharacterized. The transcript has 3 exons. NCBI's taxonomy places the organism in Eukaryota, Metazoa, Chordata, Actinopteri, Cyprinodontiformes, Fundulidae. The record is from RefSeq and is a predicted model, not a curated record.
UAGGAGAUCAUCUUGUGAUGUUUGAGAAUUUGUAAUGAAGACUUAGAGGAGGAUAGAGUCUUACUACUGUUGAGUAAUCACACCCUGAAAGCAUUGAGUGGGGAGCUAUUGUACAAAGCCUCCUGGCUUUAUGCUGUUUCCCAACUCCCCAUUUUGUGGCACUACUAUUACUGGCAUAAUUGCAUCCUCAGACCACCUAGAGAUGUGCCCUUGUUGCAAAAUCCAUUAGAACAUCACAACACUCUGCCCCUGGGACAAGGACAGAGGAUUCCAGCAAGGCUUGAUAUCACACUUGGUGAGUGGAAAAAAAAAACAUGGACGUUUUCCUCUUCUUACUUUGCCCUCCAGGGAUACUAUUGUCUUGCACUGAUGGGAAAAAUAUACACUAACUUGCCCAGAUGAAGAGAUUUUGGAAGAAGAAAAUAAGUUCAUCACAUUUUAUGUCCAUUAACAUCUCAAA